ACUUGUGUACACAAAUUAUAACAGUGUAAAAUUAAUCAUAUUUGGCCUAUUACUUCUGUUGCUAUUAAACCCACUUUAAAUUGGCUGGUUUUGCAAGUUGUGGUAUUAAGUAUAGUAAAUCUGACUGGAUAAUGCUGUACUACCAAUCUUGCCAGAUGUAGAAACUGG
This is a long non-coding RNA of Strigops habroptila (Kakapo), 168 nucleotides long. RefSeq lists it as uncharacterized. The record is from RefSeq and is a predicted model, not a curated record. The transcript is spliced from 3 exons. NCBI's taxonomy places the organism in Eukaryota, Metazoa, Chordata, Aves, Psittaciformes, Psittacidae.